GGCUUGUUCUUUUUUAGUGAUCUUCUGGUUUGUUUGGUCACCGAUAUACUCGGUAGGCGAACCACAUCUGUCCACAUCUGUCACUUAAUUGUCAUAGAUCUGCUUAAGUCUCAUCAACGGUUAUAUUAUUUUUAAUAGUCUAGUGUUGAUGCUUUUGGUGAUUAUUCAUGAUAUAAGAACUGCAACUAGGUGUAUCAGAACUAUUAUAGAAGACCCAUCAUUAAAAAGAUAGUUUACAUUAUAAUUUCUUAUACUUUAUGCCUCAUCAACGGUUAUAUUAUUUUUAAUAGUCUAGUGUUGAUGCUUUUGGUGAUUAUUACAUUACGGUAGAUCGAAUAUUUAAUGUUGCAAACAUUCAUGAUAUAAGAACUGCAACUAGGUGUAUCAGAACUAUUAUAGAAGACCCAUCAUUAAAAAGAUAGUUUACAUUUUAAUUUUUUAUACUUUAUGCCAGAAUAAUUCAAGAAAAUUAUAAAUGCAUUUAAAAUGGCUAUUUGUUCCGUAGUAGAUAUUUCAAAAAACAUUUUGAUACAUUCAGCAGAUCCCAUCGAUUGUUAAUGGGAAAAGGAUACUCAUAUAUCUUAUGAAAUAUUACAAUGAACUAGAUCAACAGACUUGAAUAAUACAUUCAUGUGUGGCUUAUGUGGAUAGAAGUAAGUCACUUGGACUUUCAGAGGAAGAAAAUUUAUUUGAAUUUAAAGUGUCUAUUGGUGAUAUUUAUGAAUAAUGGCAUUUAUACCGUUGAUUAAAAAUCUCAUAUGACAAAUGAAAUUACCAACAUUGCUGAUGCCAACAUUGAGAUAAAUAAGUGCUAUAAAUAUAGAUUUUUGGAAUGAGAAAAAACACUACACAGUCAAAACCAAGUCAUCGUUCAUUAACUAUGGAUUCAUGAAAAGUAUAAAUCUAACAACAUUUAGCCAACUAUGAUCUGGAGCCAACGUUUCUCCAGUUCAGCUCCUUCAUUGGUUCUUUCGGAUCACAUCAUCCGAGAGUCUUGGUCGACAAUAAUAACCCAAGACAAAAUUCUUGUGGCAGAUUCGAUAUGUAUAUCAUUCCCGGAGGAUUAGGAAGUACCAGAAUCUACACGGAUGGUUAGAAAUGUAACUAGGAUACAUCUCCCGACGAAUUGCUGAGGAUUAGCAGAGAAGAAGCAAUACUCAACGGACUGCCACCACCAUGACAAAAAA
Long non-coding RNA from Nicrophorus vespilloides, 1187 nucleotides. RefSeq lists it as uncharacterized. The transcript has 5 exons. The record is from RefSeq and is a predicted model, not a curated record. NCBI's taxonomy places the organism in Eukaryota, Metazoa, Arthropoda, Insecta, Coleoptera, Silphidae.